AGUGAACGCUGGCGGUAGGCCUAACACAUGCAAGUCGAACGGCAGCACAGUAAGAGCUUGCUCUUACGGGUGGCGAGUGUCGGACGGGUGAGGAAUACAUCGGAAUCUACUUUUUCGUGGGGGAUAAUGUAGGGAAAUGUACGCUAAUAACGCAUACGACCUACGGGUGAAAGCAUGGGAACUUCGGACCUUGUGCGACUGAAUGAGCUGAUCCCGGAUUAGCUAGUUGGCGGGUUAAAGGCGCACCGAGGCGACGAUCCGUAGCUGAGCUGAGAGGAUGAUCAGCCGCACUAGAACUAGGACACGAUGCAUGCUCCUACGGGAGGCAGCAGUGGGGGAUACUGGACAAUAGGCGGAAGCCUAGUCCAACCAUACGGCGUAGGUUCGGAAGGACUUCGGUUUCUAAAGCCCUUUUGUUGGGAGAGAAAAGCAGCAGAUUAACACCCCGCUGUUAUGACGGUACCCAAAGAAUAAGCACCGGCUAACUUCGUG
RNAcentral lists this ribosomal RNA (492 nucleotides) under uncultured bacterium. Its description in RNAcentral is "partial 16S ribosomal RNA". It matches the Rfam family "Bacterial small subunit ribosomal RNA", at positions 29 to 507 of the family's 1533-position model. The record is from RNAcentral.